AUGAUUCAGUCCAUGAUUAUUAAUAUCUCUAAGCUUUUGCUCAUGCUAUCCUCUCCCUUCCUGGAAAACCCUCCCACCUCAAGGGUUACUUCCUCCAAGAAACAUUCCUGGAUCUCCCAGCUGCUGGCUCCUAGAGCACUCUGGGCAAACCUCUACCUUAUCACCGCCACCACCACCAUGUAUCAAAAUUAUGACCCAUUUCACCCACUUAUUAAUAAGCUUCAAGAAGCCAAAGAUUUUCUCCUUCUAAUCCUUAUCUUACUGCCAUCUAGCCCAAUGUUUGGUAAUCGCAUGCAAUCGCAUAAAUGUUUGUCAGAUAGAAUGAUCUAUUCAGAAGUUUCUGGAAGUGUUAUUCUUUCCACAGAGGGCCUGGUUUAUUCAGUUUGUGUUCCUAGGAGGAACUGCCAAAACUGUCCUGAGGUCUCAUUCCUCAGGACAACCAGCAUGAACAAACAUCCCACCCCAACUUUCUUCAUGGCUGAAGGAAGGAGCAGGACCAGAUGUUCUCGAGGGUCCCUUAGUGCUCCAGGAUCCUUAGGUUCCAGGGAAUUCCCCAUCAGAAUAAAAUUGUUGGGAGCAGAAGAGGCCAGUAUGGCCUCUUCUCAGCAGGUCUCUAGAUGGACCCCAACCUCUGGAAGGGCUGGGCCAAGGAAAAGAAUUCGCCACUUCAGGGUCUCACACCUUCCUCUCCUCCAGCACAUUUCUCUCUCCCUUUGCCUCACCUUCACUUUUGCUGCUUCCUCUCUGCCAGCCUCUUCCCUUCUCUUUCUUUCUUAUCUGUUUCUCUUCUCCUACCGGCCCAACCGCACCUUCCCAGUAUCGCUGCUGCCUUUUCACUCUCUCACUCACUUCUGCGUCUCGCCAGUCAGAUUCACCAUCCUUCUACAGUCCCCUGCAUUUAUACUGCUUGCCUCCCACAUCCGAACGUCUUGCUCGCUUUCUCCCUCUUCUCUAUAUCCCGCGAGUAAGAGCCUCCUCUGGACGCCAAGACAGGAGGGGCUGCCCUGGGUCAUGGCACCGCCCCGCGGUGGGUGUGUGUGA
Molecule: long non-coding RNA, 1041 nt
Filed under: Callithrix jacchus (white-tufted-ear marmoset)
Lineage: Eukaryota; Metazoa; Chordata; Mammalia; Primates; Cebidae
Description: lncRNA (ENSCJAG00000077660.1)
Source: RNAcentral